CGGCGGACGGGUGAGUAACACGUUGAUAACCUACCUAUAAGACUGGGAUAACUUCGGGAAACCGGAGCUAAUACCGGAUAAUAUAUUGAACCGCAUGGUUCAAUAGUGAAAGACGGUUUUGCUGUCACUUAUAGAUGGAUCCGCGCCGCAUUAGCUAGUUGGUAAGGUAACGGCUUACCAAGGCAACGAUGCGUAGCCGACCUGAGAGGGUGAUCGGCCACACUGGAACUGAGACACGGUCCAGACUCCUACGGGAGGCAGCAGAC
RNAcentral lists this ribosomal RNA (266 nucleotides) under uncultured Staphylococcus sp. RNAcentral's name for it is "partial 16S ribosomal RNA". It matches the Rfam family "Bacterial small subunit ribosomal RNA", at positions 96 to 354 of the family's 1533-position model. Lineage: Bacteria; Bacillati; Bacillota; Bacilli; Caryophanales; Staphylococcaceae. The record is from RNAcentral.